RNAcentral lists this ribosomal RNA (497 nucleotides) under uncultured bacterium. Its description in RNAcentral is "partial 16S ribosomal RNA". It matches the Rfam family "Bacterial small subunit ribosomal RNA", at positions 28 to 507 of the family's 1533-position model. The record is from RNAcentral.
GACGAACGCUGGCGGCGUGCCUAAUACAUGCAAGUAGAACGCUGAAGAGAGGAGCUUGCUCUUCUUGGAUGAGUUGCGAACGGGUGAGUAACGCGUAGGUAACCUGCCUGGUAGCGGGGGAUAACUAUUGGAAACGAUAGCUAAUACCGCAUGAAAUUGCUUAUCGCAUGAUAAUUGAUUGAAAGAUGCAAUUGCAUCACUACCAGAUGGACCUGCGUUGUAUUAGCUAGUUGGUGAGGUAACGGCUCACCAAGGCGACGAUACAUAGCCGACCUGAGAGGGUGAUCGGCCACACUGGGACUGAGACACGGCCCAGACUCCUACGGGGAGCAGCAGGAGGGAAUCUUCGGCAAUGGGGGGAACCCUGACCGAGCAACGCCGCGGGAGUGAAGAAGGGUUUCGGAUCGUAAAGCUCGGUUGUAAGAGAAGAACGGGUGUGAGAGUGGAAAGUUCACACUGUGACGGUAUCUUACCAGAAAGGAACGGCUAACUACGUG